AUUGAACGCUGGCGGCAGGCCUAACACAUGCAAGUCGAGCGGAUGACGGGAGCUUGCUCCUUGAUUCAGCGGCGGACGGGUGAGUAAUGCCUAGGAAUCUGCCUGGUAGUGGGGGACAACGUUUCGAAAGGAACGCUAAUACCGCAUACGUCCUACGGGAGAAAGCAGGGGACCUUCGGGCCUUGCGCUAUCAGAUGAGCCUAGGUCGGAUUAGCUAGUUGGUGGGGUAAUGGCUCACCAAGGCGACGACCCGUAACUGGUCUGAGAGGAUGAGCAGUCACACUGGAACUGAGACACGGUCCAGACUCCUACGGGAGGCAGCAGUGGGGAAUAUUGGACAAUGGGCGAAAGCCUGAUCCAGCCAUGCCGCGUGUGUGAAGAAGGUCUUCGGAUUGUAAAGCACUUUAAGUUGGGAGGAAGGGCAGUAAGCUAAUACCUUGCUGUUUUGACGUUACCGACAGAAUAAGCACCGGCUAACUCUGUGCCAGCCGCCGCAGUAA
RNAcentral lists this ribosomal RNA (500 nucleotides) under uncultured bacterium. RNAcentral describes it as "partial 16S ribosomal RNA". It matches the Rfam family "Bacterial small subunit ribosomal RNA", at positions 30 to 523 of the family's 1533-position model. The record is from RNAcentral.